This 253-nucleotide ribosomal RNA is filed under the name uncultured bacterium. RNAcentral describes it as "partial 16S ribosomal RNA". It matches the Rfam family "Bacterial small subunit ribosomal RNA", at positions 524 to 776 of the family's 1533-position model. The record is from RNAcentral.
UACGUAGGGUGCAAGCGUUGUCCGGAAUUAUUGGGCGUAAAGAGCUCGUAGGCGGUUUGUCGCGUCUGGUGUGAAAACUCGGGGCUUAACCCCGGGCCUGCAGUGGGUACGGGCAGACUAGAGUGCGGGAGGGGAGAGUGGAAUUCCUGGUGUAGCGGUGAAAUGCGCAGAUAUCAGGAGGAACACCGGUGGCGAAGGCGGGUCUCUGGGCCGUAACUGACGCUGAGGAGCGAAAGCGUGGGGAGCGAACAGG